UUUUACCUUUGUCACAGAUUUUGAAUCAUUAAAUAAAUGAAAAUAUAAAUUUUACACAGAUAUGCAUUUUUCCACAGCAAUUUUAUCUCUAUUAAAUUUGUAUUUUUGUUUUUGUUUUUUCUAACGAGUCACUGAAGCACUUGAGAUGAAAGAAAACAAUGAAAUAUCAAGGGCCCAAACACAAUCCCUGCGGUCCUGGAGAAGAAUCAAUGAGGCCGCACACGACAGAAGAAAAAACAGAGAGAAGCAGACACAGACCGUCAACAUGAAACGUGGUAAGAAGCCCAUUUUACUGCCAUAAUCUAUUUCUAAAGGGGGAAACAAGAUACUCAGAGAGAAAGAAAAUAGGAUGGGAUUUUGGUUUUAUCCAUGGGGAUCGUGAAAAGUGGGCAUUUCAUACCAAAAUGGUUUCUAUAUGCAAACGUUUUUGUAUUUAUUUAUUUGAAUAACAUGCACUGGAUUAAAAUUGUUUAUUUUUUUUUAUGUUUUAGAAAUAGCAUGCACUGAUAAACCAUUCACAAUAAGAACAAAAAAAAUAUUUUUUUAUUUAAUCCAUGGACAUCAUGAAAAACGGAUGUUUUAUAUUAGAACAGACGUUUUUAUAUUUAUAUACUUGUAUGUAUUUGUUUGUGGAAAACACACAAACGGUGCUACACUGAUGUGGAGAGACACAGAGGAGACAAAUUGUUGAAUAAAGUAGUUAUUUUUGUUUUCUUUGUGUACAAAAAGUAUUCUCGUCGCUUCAUAACGUUACGGUUGAAUCACUAAUGGCAGAUGGACUAUUCUGACGAUGCUUUUCAUACCUUUCCUGGACCAUGACACUGUUAUUUAUUUGGCAGUCUAUGGGACAGUCACAAGCCUCCCGGUUUUCAUCCAAAAUAUCUUAAAUUGUGUUCUGAAGAUGAACAAAGCUUUUACGGGUUUGGAACGACAUGGGGGUAAGUGAUUAAUUACAAACUUUUAAUUUUGGGGUGGAGUAUCCCUUUAAGUGCAUUUUGAUUUCAUGCAUAUUUCACACUCUGUAUUUCUGUCUUUUAAAGUAAAACGAAUGCUGUAAAAUCCUGAUCCUCCAUGAACGUCCAUAGUGUCGACACCAUAGACAAUCCCAUAAACCCCUCCAUACAGACACACAUUGGGACCUCUGCUAAUUGAAUUCAGCACUCAUUAAGAUGAUAAUGAGAUGCGCUGAUGAUAACGAUCUGACCCCUGCGGCUGGAGUUCUGCGUGGUCAGCAGAUGUUUUUCAGUCCCUUCAGACCAAAUGAGCAAAUCAUUGUGUUUGCACGAGUCUGACUAAUAGAAACAUCACGCUAAUAUUCACCUCAGCGUGACAGCGGCCACUUCACAUUCAAACGCACACAAUAAUGAAAGGCAGUAUCCAGAAAAUCUAAUUUUAUAUAUAUUGCAGCCUUUAGACUGAGAAUGAUAAGUAAAAAUCUAAAGGGAAAUUACAAAGCGAGGAGAAAUGAGGUGAUUAGCUAUUAUAAUGCAAACAGCCUCCUAGAAAGGCAAUUGUUUGUGCUUUUAACGCAGUGAUAUUUCUCCAUCUGGUUUAAUUUGGUUUAUUGUUCGUGAGUUUUCUAGCCGCAUUUCUAUCAAAAUACUACUUGUAAAGCCUCGCAAGCACACACCAACACAAUUUCAUAAAAGCAUUUGAAUGAAAAACAUGCACACAAGCAUUCACAGAUAAACUAAAGCCGGACAAACAAAUUCAUGAUUGAAGUUCUUAAGCUCUCCGACUGCAGUAAAUCCCAUAUUGCAGCUCAACUGUGAACUUUGGCAUGUGUUUUCUGCUUCGUUCCGCUGCAUUUUCAUUCGCUCAUGCAUGUCUCAUCCAGGCAGGUAUGAUGAUUACAGCUGUGUUGUUUUAAUUGCUUUUGACCAGCGGAGCAGAAUGUGAGCAUGCGGCAUAACGCUUGAUGCAGAAAUCAUGCGGGAACGGCCUGCAUGCACAAUGUGGAAAUGUUUUAAGCAUUUAGAGACAAUGAAUAUCCUCUCAUUUACAUGUUAUUUAAGCAUAAACUUGCUUUGCAUGUCAAAGUCCAAAAAAAAUGAUGUAGAAGCAAUUUUCACUUAGAAACUGCUAGUAAAUUUCACAAAUAAAUCCAAAGAAAUGGCAAGUAACAGUGAAUAAACAUGAAAUUGAAAAAAACUGAACUAUUUUAUUAUAGAAAUUAUUACUUUUAUUUAGCAAGGAUGCUUUAAAUUGAUCAAAAGUGAUGAUAAAGACAUUUGUAAUGUUACAAAAGAUUUCUGUUUCAGAGAAAUGCUGUUCUGAACUUUCUGUUCAUCAAAAAGCCUGAAAAAUUCCACUCAGCUUUUUUCAACAUAAUAAUACUAAUAAAUAAUAAUAAUAAUUGGAA
This is a long non-coding RNA of Cyprinus carpio carpio, 2362 nucleotides long. NCBI's taxonomy places the organism in Eukaryota, Metazoa, Chordata, Actinopteri, Cypriniformes, Cyprinidae. The record is from Ensembl.